ACUCAACUCUUUAUUUUUUAGUGUUAAUUUCGUACCAUUCCCUAUACAUAUAAUGAAUUACAAAUAUAUUCCUAUAAAAUUUAAAUUUCAUAUAUUGUCUUUGCAAAAGUCCUGAUAUUUUCAAAUAUAUCACUGUCGUUAGAUCCGUUAGAAAAAAUUAGUUAACCGUAGGUAAAAAAUUUAACCCUAGUUAGUUAAUGAGGUGAAUUAUCCUUUUUACUCUUUUUUAAUUAAUAGAUGUGACUUUCGGAGAGACAUAUUUGUGACCGCAAAAAGGUCAUUUUACUUAUAAAAUAAACAGUGUUUUAAUGAUAACAAAAUGAAGGGACAUAUUUAAAAAUAUUAGAACUUUUGUAGGGACAACAUAUAAAAAUUGAACUUUGUAGGGAUAUAUUUGCAAUUCACUAUAUUUGCACGGACUUGUAUAAAAUUAAUUUUAUUUUUUAAUUUAGAAAAUACUUCUAAAAAUACCUUUUUUUUUACUUUUGCUAACUUUCAAAAAUCUAUAUUUUGUUUUCUUAAAAUUUUAAAAAUAUUUUCAGAAGAAUAUUGCGUUAAUGACGAGAGCAAAAUGACCAAAUUAUCUUUAUUUUUUUAUAAAAAAAUAAUUUUUAAUAUAUUUUUGUCAUUUUGAAUUGUAUUUUUUGGUAUAAAUUAAAAAUAAUGAACGAAUAUUUAUAAGGAGAUUUUUAUAAUUUAGCCUAAUAAUAAUUAGCGUCUUAAAGUGAA
This 729-nucleotide long non-coding RNA is filed under the name Ananas comosus (pineapple). RNAcentral describes it as "long non-coding RNA (ACOM_LNC007910)". The record is from RNAcentral. Lineage: Eukaryota; Viridiplantae; Streptophyta; Magnoliopsida; Poales; Bromeliaceae.